This 465-nucleotide ribosomal RNA is filed under the name uncultured bacterium. RNAcentral's name for it is "partial 16S ribosomal RNA". It matches the Rfam family "Bacterial small subunit ribosomal RNA", at positions 28 to 507 of the family's 1533-position model. The record is from RNAcentral.
GACGAACGCUGGCGGCGUGCUUAACACAUGCAAGUCGAACGGAAAGGCCCUGCUUGCAGGGUACUCGAGUGGCGAACGGGUGAGUAACACGUGGGUGAUCUGCCCUGCACUUCGGGAUAAGCCUGGGAAACUGGGUCUAAUACCGGAUAGGAGCCAUUUUUAGUGUGAUGGUUGGAAAGUUUUUUCGGUGUAGGAUGAGCUCGCGGCCUAUCAGCUUGUUGGUGGGGUAAUGGCCUACCAAGGCGGCGACGGGUAGCCGGCCUGAGAGGGUGGACGGCCACAUUGGGACUGAGAGACGGCCCAGACGCCUACGGGAGGCAGCAGUGGGGAAUAUUGCACAAUGGGCGCAAGCCUGAUGCAGCGACGCCGCGUGGGGGAUGACGGCCUUCGGGUUGUAAACUCCUUUCGCUAGGGACGAAGCUUUUUGUGACGGUACCUAGAGAAGAAGCACCGGCUAACUACGUG